Molecule: long non-coding RNA, 1268 nt
Organism: Passer domesticus (house sparrow)
Lineage: Eukaryota; Metazoa; Chordata; Aves; Passeriformes; Passeridae
Exons: 7
Source: RefSeq, a predicted model, not a curated record
UUGAGACGUUAACCUUUCAUAUUUCUGUCUCUCACACAUGGUGAGGCAGCUGUGCCCCUGCAGCUCAUGGAGGCCCAUGCUGGAGUAGAGAUGCACCUCCAGCCCACAGAUGACCACACACCAGAGCAGAUGGGUGUCUGAAGGAGGCUGUAGCUGUGGGAAGGCUGCACUUUAGCAGGUUCUUGGCAGGACCUGUGGAUCCAUGGAGAGCAGAGCUCACACUGAUGCAGGUUUGCUGGAAGGACUUGCAAUCACACAGGCAACCAAUGCUGGAGCAAUCUGUUCCUGAAGGACUGAACCCUGUGGAAAGGUCCCAUGCUGGAGUAGUUUGUGAAGAACUGCAGCCCAUGGGAAGAACCCAAAUUGGAGAAGUUCAUGGAGGAUUAUCUUUCAUGAAAGACACCCCACAGGGGAUCAGGGGAAGAGUGUGAGGAGUCCUUCCUCUAAAGAGGGGCAAAGACAGCAUAUGAGGAACUGAUGCCAACCCCAGUACCCCUGCACUGCUUGGUGGCUAGGAGGUAGAGAAAAAUUAAAAGGUGACCAAAACAUUCUGACAGAUCAGAAGCUCCUUAUUCUCAUCCUGAACAACAGGAAAACAGAAAGGAUGUUAGCUUGCAUUGACCUCAGUUGAACCAGCCUUGGGACCAUAAAGAGCACAGCUCUGUUAAACUUAACCUAACUCAUGAAUGAAGCUGAGAAAAAGGUUCAAAGUCAUUGAAGCAUGACGAUGACACACCCUGUGGCACAUGUGUCUGAGAGAGCAGAGUGACUGCAAACAGUUAACAUGGUUCCUGCAGCUUUACUGGUGGCAGUUCAGUGUUUGGCUUACAUUACACGGCCUCCAGUAUCUGGCAAUCAGUUCCAUUUUCUUAUUUUUCCCAUCAUAGAAGGCUAUUAAGGUGGCUUUGGUAAUCUCUUUCACUUCUUUGCUUCAAAGAUCCCAGAGCUGGAUGCAGUACUGCAGGACAUGUCUUACAAGAUUGGAGUACAGGGGCAGGAUCCCCUUCCUUGGUGAGGAGAGGUUGGGAGAAUUGGGACUGUCCCACCUGGAAAGGAGAAGGCUUUAGGGUGACCUAGUUGCAGCCUUCCACUACCUGAAGGGAACUUACAGGAAAAAUGGGAAGUACAAAGUCUAAGAAUAUAUCAAGGUGUGAAAAUGUCUCAAAUACAUUUUAAAAAAUGUUAGAAAAAACAAAUGACUACUGUUUUUUAAUAGAAGAACGACAGGAGGGACUUCUAUGGCAUUAUCAGAUUCUGCAUGUGCCCCU